ACUCCUACGGGAGGCAGCAGUGGGGAAUAUUGGACAAUGGGCGCAAGCCUGAUCCAGCAAUGCCGCGUGAGUGAUGAAGGCCUUAGGGUUGUAAAGCUCUUUUACCCGGGAUGAUAAUGACAGUACCGGGAGAAUAAGCCCCGGCUAACUCCGUGCCAGCAGCCGCGGUAAUACGGAGGGGCUAGCGUUGUUCGGAAUUACUGGGGCGUAAAGCGCACGUAGGCGGCUUUGUAAGUUAGAGGUGAAAGCCUGGAGCUCAACUCCAGAACUGCCUUUAAGACUGCAUCGCUUGAAUCCAGGAGAGGUGAGUGGAAUUCCGAGUGUAGAGGUGAAAUUCGUAGAUAUUCGGAAGAACACCAGUGGCGAAGGCGGCUCACUGGACUGGUAUUGACGCUGAGGUGCGAAAGCGUGGGGAGCAAACAGGAUUAGAUA
Molecule: ribosomal RNA, 432 nt
Filed under: uncultured bacterium
Lineage: Bacteria
Description: bacterial SSU rRNA
Rfam family: Bacterial small subunit ribosomal RNA
Source: RNAcentral